GCCUGCUUAGCUCAGUGGUAGAGCGCAUCACUAGUACCUCCUGGAAUCCCCACGAGAUGAUGAGGCCGCCAGUUCAAUUCUGGUAGCAGGCA
Coniochaeta sp. 2T2.1 is the source of this 92-nucleotide non-coding RNA. The record is from the annotation of a GenBank genome assembly. NCBI's taxonomy places the organism in Eukaryota, Fungi, Ascomycota, Sordariomycetes, Coniochaetales, Coniochaetaceae.